GAAAUAACUGAAGUAGUGGUGUAAACAGGUAAGUGUCAAGUUCAUAGAAUUCUUAGGUGACUAAGCUGAGAUGAUAACAGUUAUAUAUAUAUAUAGUCUUUGUAGGUGCAGAUUGGAGGAGUGGAUGAGAUGGGGUCAAGGCUGGAGUGAAAGACACAGAAGACAGAGUGAAAAGAUGAAUUGUGUCGGCCAGGCCAGACUCGCUGGUAAUGAAUAAUAAACACUGCCUCAGAUCACUCCUUCUUAAGCAACUUAUCCCUUGCUUUCGGUUUCUCUUGAUGGCAUACUUACAACAUAAGAAAGUGACCGGAGCUUGAGCAAGUUCUGCAUCUUGGGGUUCGAUAAAUUAAAUACUGCAUCUUCCAGUUGAAGAACAAGAUACUUUUAUGCUAUUUGGCAGAUGGAAUCAGACCUUUCAGGGGAUUUUGCAAAUGCGAACAAUCCUAUUUUUUGCAAUCUAAAACCCAAGACUUUUAUCAUUGUAAACGUCAUGCAAUCAUGCACUUUUUAAGUUCAAUAUAACAUGUCCUCCAAAGAAAAAUACAUUAGUCAUUUUUGUUGUUUUUUUCCUUUACAAUGAUUCUGAUCUUCAAUCAUAACUGCUCUAUUUUCCCUUACUGCCAUUUUCCAUGAUUCUUCCUUAUUAUAGCUUCCAUCUUCUGCUCCUCCAGUUGGCACAAGGCAAACCUGUGCACUACACUUUGUUUUCUCUUCCAUUUGGUGAUAUUUAGAACUCUAAGCUGGAUAAACUUAGUGAUAGUUCACCCAAAAAUGAACUUUCCGUCAUGAUUUGCUUAAAUUGUUUCUCAGAGAUCUUUACCGUAUGUCUUUAAAUGACUUGAAAGACAAUGCACAAGCAAUAUGAACCACCUUCAUAACACUUUGAGUACUUUUUGGAGCUCAAAACCUUUGUAACAGCAUGGAAAAGAGUAUGGAAAACAAUAUUUCUUCUAAUGUAUUCUGAAGAACAAGAGGGUUAGUAAAUGAUGACAGAAUUCUCAUUAUUUUGGGUGAACUUUGGUAGAAGUUUGAGAAAGUUCACUUAGUAUUUGCCCUUAGUUCUGUGGGAAAAUGUGUCCAAAUCAAUCGGCCAAUGUAACAUGCGGGAUUUAGACAAGUAAUCGCAAAAGAAACUGUAUGAUUUCUGGAUCCCCAAUUUAAUCCACUUUUACAACAAUCUGAUUUUUGUUUUUUGCGCUGACAUUGAAGAAUGUCUCAGCCUGGUCAAGAGAACCAACAUAAGCUUUAUGUCAUUCACAGAGUCUGGCUUCUUAUCAACCACUACUUUUGCUGCACUGAACUGACCAGUUAUGAGUUGAGAAAGUGCUAUUUUUGGACCACCAUAAGUCUUUGGAUCCCAAAGAGUUAAUCAAGGCUUAAACUUACAGAAUGUACUUAGAAACUAAUCAAUAGAACAUGCUGCUGAGUUCUCAUUGUGUAGCAUUCAUGUUAAGCUCUCUGCCCCAAAAAAAACAAUUUUGUUUCCCUGUUUUUCCUGGCUUUGUUAGAUAUCACCGCAAAGCUGCCUGGCUUGUUUCGAAAAAAGUGGUGGCUUUGUGUUCCCUGUGUGGCUUUCUUGGCUCUGUGUACCACAUUUUCAGGUGCUUUAAAUGAUUGGAAAGUGACUGUGGCUGUUUCAUUGAGAAGUAAGGCAUUGGUCCAACCAUCUCAAUGUAGAAAAACAAAUUGUUGCAGAAAACUACUUCUCAAUAACCCUUGAAUUAACUUCAGCAAGGGACUGAACUUCCUCUAAAUACACACUGACAGUCUGCUUAUGAUCAGCCAGUAGCCUCAUUCUAAAACCAUUUAUUAUAUUCAGUUCCACAAUAAAGCUGUUCUUCCCCAUCAUUCCUAAUGAACUGGCUCUGCAUAUCCUUUUGUAAUCCACAAAUCAGAGGGGUAACAACGCAUAUAUGUUUUCAUAUGAUCAUGUUUUAUGCCAUUAAUUUAACAGUAGUGCCUGUGUGAAUGCAAAUGCUGACCUCCUUAACAAAACCUGAUUAAAGUGUCACAUAAUGAAUGCACUCCUAAAUUAACACCAAUUCAGUUGCAUUUUACAUCAAACCAGUCAUCAUGUUCCAGAUGCAAUGUUCAGGCCCUUACAGAUUUAUCAAAAAGAGGGAAUAUAGACAUUCAUACUAUAGGCAAAUGACAAGGUUAUGGUUGCUGGAGCAUUCAAUCACAGCUCUGAAAUAAAACCCUGAUGCUAUUUUUCUUCAUCCCUCAAAUGUACAUAAAAUGCAUCCAUCACUAUUCUGACAGCCAUCAGUGGAUAACUAACGGCCAGCAUGAUAAUUUGCCAGGCAAUUCCACACUGAGAGCAGUAGAAUGGAUUUAGGUCGGGCUUUGCAGUUGGUAGUUUGGCGGUUAAGUGUUUGGUUUCAUUAUACGUCAGAGUGCAAGUGCAAGUGCAAGCGAGGCAAUGGAUAGGGAUUUUUUCUGUAAAACACUUCUCAUAUUUUCAAAAGCUUCAAAAUUAAAGACUCCUGCCAGAGCCUGAUUUAGACCUACUAUCAAUCUAGCCUAGACAUACUGAUGAUAAUGCAGUACCCUGUAGGAUUUACAUUGGACAAAGCAAAUGCGUGGAAUUCAAGGGAAAUUAUCAGCACUUUCCCAUCAUUAUAGAUGCUCCAAAAGAGAAAAAUCACCAAAAAAGUGAUUGUCAUUACGAGUUAGUUACUAAAUCAUUAAUUCAGUUUAUUAAUUCAAAACAUUGAUUAA
Cyprinus carpio (common carp) is the source of this 2721-nucleotide long non-coding RNA. RefSeq lists it as uncharacterized. The transcript has 3 exons. NCBI's taxonomy places the organism in Eukaryota, Metazoa, Chordata, Actinopteri, Cypriniformes, Cyprinidae. The record is from RefSeq and is a predicted model, not a curated record.